GAUGAACGCUGGCGGCGUGCUUAACACAUGCAAGUCGAACGGAAAGGCCCAAGCUUGCUUGUGUACUCGAGUGGCGAACGGGUGAGUAACACGUGGGUGCUCUGCCCUGCACUUCGGGAUAAGCCUGGGAAACUGGGUUUAAUACCGGUUAGGACCACUUCUUGGAUGUUGUGGUGGACAGUUUUUUCGGUGUGGGAUUAGCUCGCGGCCUAUCAGCUUGUUGGUGGGGUAAUGGCCUACCAAGGCGUCGACGGGUAGCCGGCCUGAGAGGGUGUACGGCGGCAUUGAGACUGAGGUACGGCCCAGGUGCCGACGUUAGGAAGAAGUGGGAAAGAUUGAACAAGGAGUGCAGGCCGGGUGCAGCGGCGCUGCGUGUGGGAUGACGGCUUUGUCGGUGUAGACUCCUUUCGCUAUGGACGAAGCGGUUGAUGACGGUACCGGAAGAAGAAGCACCGGCUAACUACGUG
RNAcentral lists this ribosomal RNA (467 nucleotides) under uncultured bacterium. RNAcentral describes it as "partial 16S ribosomal RNA". It matches the Rfam family "Bacterial small subunit ribosomal RNA", at positions 28 to 507 of the family's 1533-position model. The record is from RNAcentral.